This 82-nucleotide transfer RNA is filed under the name Streptomyces viridiviolaceus. RNAcentral's name for it is "tRNA-Ser". The record is from RNAcentral. Lineage: Bacteria; Bacillati; Actinomycetota; Actinomycetes; Kitasatosporales; Streptomycetaceae.
GCGGUGGAUGCAUCAAGGUAGGUACACAGCGUCUCGAGGAUGCUGGUGGCCUGGUCCGCGAGUUCACUCUCGCCGACCGGCC